UAAUACGGAGGGUGCAAGCGUUAUUCGGAAUUACUGGGCGUAAAGGGCGCGCAGGCGGCCCCUUAAGUCAGGCGUGAAAGCCCGAGGCUAAACCUCGGAAGUGCGUCUGAAACUAAGGGGCUUGAGUACGGGAGAGGGAAGUGGAAUUCCUGGUGUAGAGGUGAAAUUCGUAGAUAUCAGGAGGAACACCGGUGGCGAAGGCGACUUCCUGGACCGAUACUGACGCUGAGGCGCGAAAGCGUGGGGAGCAAACAGGAUUAGAGACCCUGGUAGUCCACGCCGUAAACGAUGAACACUAGGUGUAGCGGGUAUUGAACCCUGCUGUGCCGCAGCUAACGCAUUAAGUGUUCCGCCUGGGGACUACGGUCGCAAGGCUA
This 377-nucleotide ribosomal RNA is filed under the name uncultured bacterium. Its description in RNAcentral is "bacterial SSU rRNA". It matches the Rfam family "Bacterial small subunit ribosomal RNA", at positions 521 to 896 of the family's 1533-position model. The record is from RNAcentral.